AGAAGCAUCGGAUCUCUUUCUCCUCUCUUUACAAGUGAAUUUCGGCGGCCUUGGGUUUCAAACAUUUAACACUUUAGUGACUCCUCGUGAGCAGACAUCAUCGUGGUCAAACGGGAGAUUCUUGCCAGAGUAACCACAUUGCCUGUUCAGUAAGUUGUGCAGCUUUACUCAAGGUAAACAUUCAUUCUCGAUCAAACCAGAUAUGUUGUACCAUUCUGACAUUCAGGCAUUAUUCAUUGUAUUGUUGGAUUGUUUGACCUAUUUUUUCUCUAUGAUGUCAGCGUUUUAAUCAGUUUUACUGUUGUCAUGACCAAGUAAUUCUGAAAAAAA
Long non-coding RNA from Carassius auratus (goldfish), 330 nucleotides. RefSeq lists it as uncharacterized. The transcript has 2 exons. Lineage: Eukaryota; Metazoa; Chordata; Actinopteri; Cypriniformes; Cyprinidae. The record is from RefSeq and is a predicted model, not a curated record.